AGCUGGUUGAUAGGCCGCAGGUGUAAGGGGGGCAACCCCUUGAGCUGAGCGGUACUAAUCGGUCGAGGGCUUGACCUUUCU
Molecule: ribosomal RNA, 81 nt
Filed under: Chloroflexota bacterium
Lineage: Bacteria; Bacillati; Chloroflexota
Description: Chloroflexi bacterium (soil metagenome) partial 23S ribosomal RNA
Rfam family: Bacterial large subunit ribosomal RNA
Source: RNAcentral